CCUCAAUGUCCAUUAAAAAUAAAUUGUAUUACACUUUGAAUUCAUGAAAAAUUGUGGUACAUUAUAUAAAUAGUGGAAGAAAUGAGCUAAAUGUGCAAAUAAUAAAACUUUAAUUAAUUAAAUAUUAAAUUAUUCCUAAGUGCUCCACUAACUCUCAUCUUGAGCCACCUAUAUAAGUAAUUGGGAUAGAUUGUUCCACUAAACCAUUUCAUUUUCUUCAAGCAUUCAUCCAUAGCCGAAAUGAAAUCCUCCCAAAUUCACCAUGGCCAUUUCAUGCAUGAGCUCAAGUCCUCCAUGAUCAAGCCAUUAUUUCUUCAGGCUCCCUUCAUGAAAAAUGAUCCUUACACCAUGGGAAACCUAUAGGCAGCAAAAAGGAGAGGAAAUUUCAAGGAUUUGUCAAGCUCAAGUUGAGGUUAGUGCUUAAUCUUUCCAAUUUCCUUCACUAAUCCUUGUGUUGAGCUUUGGGUAAGUUGAAUUGCUAAGAAAAUUUGAGGAAAGGAUUGAGUAUUGGUGAACCUUAGUUUCGGAAGCCAUGAAAAUGCAUGGUUAGUGACUUAUUCUUAUAUUUAAUGGAUGGGAAUUAACUACCCCUAUACCGGCUUCACUCUCAUUUAUAGCACCAUCAAAAUACAUCUUCCAUCCCUGCACUUCUACUAGUUUGGUAUUCUCAUAUGGGAAAGUCGUUUCAACUUCUUCAUUUUCAUCCAUCGGAUUUUCAAAAAGAAAUUCUUCUACCACACUCCCUUUUAUGGCCUUUCGAGUCUCACACACAAUAUCAAACUUUAACAAUAGAAUCAAACAUUUAGAUAAAUUUCCCAUUAGGGCUGGUACUUUAAAUAAGUACUUUAAAAGAUCCAUUCAGGAAACUACAACUUGACAAGAUUGAAAAUAGUACCUCAAUUUCUUGGUUACCAUACAAUAACUAGACAUGUCUUUUUUAUCAAUGAAUAAUUUUCUUCAUAGGUAAGAAGUUUCUUACUAAUGUAGUAAAUUGCUUUUUCUAGACUGUCAACCUCUUGUGCCAUCAUUGCCCCCAGGGCUAUGUCUUCUAGUGAUAAGUGAAGAUUAAAGGAAUCCUAAGAAUGGGUGGUGACAAAACUGGCAGAUUGCUCAGAUAUUGCUUUAUCUUAUCGAAUGCCUUUUAACACUGCUCAUUCCAUACUACCAGUUGAUUCUUUCUUAGUAACUUGAAAAUUAUUUCACUGGUAGUUGUGGGCCUAGUUAUGAACCUGCUGAUGCAUUAUAGUUUCCCUAGGAAUCCUCUAACUUCCUUUUCUAUCUUUGAAGUUGGCAUUUCUUGAAUGGCUUUUAUUUUGUCCGAAUCUAUCUCAAUCCCCUUCUUACUAAUUACUUACCCCAACAGUUUUCUAGAGGUAACCCCAAAACACACUUGCCUGGAUUAAGUCUUAGCUUAUGCUUGAUGAUCCUUUGGAAGAACUUCUUUAAUGCCUUAAAGUGUUUUUCACAAGUUGGGGAUUUUACCACCAUGUCAUCAUAUAUACCCCUACUUCCUUCUGCAUGAUAUCAUGGAAGAGCAUAGUGGCCAUUCUCUUGUAACACCCCAUUUGCAUAGCCUGGUAAAUUUCACUGUUCCGGUGACCGGUG
Molecule: unclassified non-coding RNA, 1605 nt
Filed under: Hevea brasiliensis (rubber tree)
Lineage: Eukaryota; Viridiplantae; Streptophyta; Magnoliopsida; Malpighiales; Euphorbiaceae
Source: RNAcentral